RNAcentral lists this transfer RNA (73 nucleotides) under Ailuropoda melanoleuca (giant panda). It matches the Rfam family "tRNA". Rfam says of the family: Transfer RNA (tRNA) molecules are approximately 80 nucleotides in length. Their secondary structure includes four short double-helical elements and three loops (D, anti-codon, and T loops). The record is from Rfam by way of RNAcentral. Lineage: Eukaryota; Metazoa; Chordata; Mammalia; Carnivora; Ursidae.
GUCUGGCUGGCUCAGUAGGUGGAGCACGUGACUCUUGAUUUUAGGGUCAUGAGUUCAAGCCCCAUGCUGGGCA